Molecule: ribosomal RNA, 510 nt
Filed under: uncultured bacterium
Lineage: Bacteria
Description: bacterial SSU rRNA
Rfam family: Bacterial small subunit ribosomal RNA
Source: RNAcentral
UCGAACGAGAAAGUGGAGCAAUCCAUGAGUAAAGUGGCGACCGGGUGAGUAACACGUGACUAACCUACCCUUGAGUGGGGGAUAACCUCGGGAAACCGGGGCUAAUACCGCAUAACAUCGCAAGAUCAAAGGAGCAAUCCGCUGAAGGAGGGGGUCGCGGCUGAUUAGUUAGUUGGUGAGGUAACGGCUCACCAAGACGAAGAUCAGUAGCCGGCCUGAGAGGGCGCACGGCCACACUGGAACUGAAACACGGUCCAGACUCCUACGGGAGGCAGCAGUGGGGAAUUUUGCGCAAUGGGGGAAACCCUGACGCAGCAACGCCGCGUGGAGGAUGAAGUCCCUUGGGAUGUAAACUCCUUUCGAUCGGGAAGAUAAUGACGGUACCGGAAGAAGAAGCACCGGCUAACUCUGUGCCAGCAGCCGCGGUAAUACAGAGGGUGCAAGCGUUGUUCGGAAUUAUUGGGCGUAAAGGGCGCGUAGGCGGUGCGGUAAGUCUGUAGUGAAAUCUCU